Molecule: ribosomal RNA, 853 nt
Filed under: uncultured Psychrobacter sp.
Lineage: Bacteria; Pseudomonadati; Pseudomonadota; Gammaproteobacteria; Moraxellales; Moraxellaceae
Description: bacterial SSU rRNA
Rfam family: Bacterial small subunit ribosomal RNA
Source: RNAcentral
CAGAUUGAACGCUGGCGGCAGGCUUAACACAUGCAAGUCGAGCGGAAACGAUGAUAGCUUGCUAUCAGGCGUCGAGCGGCGGACGGGUGAGUAAUACUUAGGAAUCUACCUAGUAGUGGGGGAUAGCACGGGGAAACUCGUAUUAAUACCGCAUACGUCCUACGGGAGAAAGGGGGCAACUUGUUGCUCUCGCUAUUAGAUGAGCCUAAGUCGGAUUAGCUAGAUGGUGGGGUAAAGGCCUACCAUGGCGACGAUCUGUAGCUGGUCUGAGAGGAUGAUCAGCCACACCGGGACUGAGACACGGCCCGGACUCCUACGGGAGGCAGCAGUGGGGAAUAUUGGACAAUGGGGGAAACCCUGAUCCAGCCAUGCCGCGUGUGUGAAGAAGGCCUUUUGGUUGUAAAGCACUUUAAGCAGUGAAGAAGACUCUUCGGUUAAUACCCGGAGACGAUGACAUUAGCUGCAGAAUAAGCACCGGCUAACUCUGUGCCAGCAGCCGCGGUAAUACAGAGGGUGCAAGCGUUAAUCGGAAUUACUGGGCGUAAAGCGAGCGUAGGUGGCUUGAUAAGUCAGAUGUGAAAUCCCCGGGCUUAACCUGGGAACUGCAUCUGAAACUGUUAGGCUAGAGUAGGUGAGAGGGAAGUAGAAUUUCAGGUGUAGCGGUGAAAUGCGUAGAGAUCUGAAGGAAUACCGAUGGCGAAGGCAGCUUCCUGGCAUCAUACUGACACUGAGGCUCGAAAGCGUGGGUAGCAAACAGGAUUAGAUACCCUGGUAGUCCACGCCGUAAACGAUGUCUACUAGUCGUUGGGUCCCUUGAGGACUUAGUGACGCAGCUAACGCAAUAAGUAGACCG